AUUGAACGCUGGCGGAAUGCUUUACACAUGCAAGUCGAACGGCAGCACGGGGGCAGCCCUGGUGGCGAGUGGCGAACGGGUGAGUAAUACAUCGGAACGUGCCCGGUCGUGGGGGAUAACGUAGCGAAAGUUACGCUAAUACCGCAUACGAUCUGAGGAUGAAAGCGGGGGACCUUCGGGCCUCGCGCGAUCGGAGCGGCCGAUGUCAGAUUAGGUAGUUGGUGGGGUAAAGGCCUACCAAGCCGACGAUCUGUAGCUGGUCUGAGAGGACGACCAGCCACACUGGGACUGAGACACGGCCCAGACUCCUACGGGAGGCAGCAGUGGGGAAUUUUGGACAAUGGGCGCAAGCCUGAUCCAGCCAUUCCGCGUGCAGGACGAAGGCCUUCAGGUUGUAAACUGCUUUUGUACGGAACGAAAAGGCUCUGGCUAAUACCUGGGGCUCAUGACGGUACCGUAAGAAUAAGCACCGGCUAACUACGUG
Molecule: ribosomal RNA, 484 nt
Filed under: uncultured bacterium
Lineage: Bacteria
Description: partial 16S ribosomal RNA
Rfam family: Bacterial small subunit ribosomal RNA
Source: RNAcentral